UUGGAUCACCUCCUAACAGGGAGACAAACAACGAUUUUGAUGCCUGAGUACUUUUAUUCUUAGGCCGAAAUCCUGUCACCUUAGGUCGAUCGGUACCUCAACUUCAAUCCUGUGAGUCGAAAGACUGCACAACGAUUGAUUUUUAGUUCCUAAACGUUGUCUAGGUCACCCCAUAGAGGGUUCACUUCCUGGGCCAUUAGCUCAGGUGGUUAGAGCGCACCCCUGAUAAGGGUGAGGUCCCUGGUUCAAGUCCAGGAUGGCCCAUUCGGUGUUGGGGGUUUAGCUCAGUUGGUAGAGCGCCUGCUUUGCAAGCAGGAUGUCAGGAGUUCGAGUCUCCUAACCUCCACUGACCAAACUGUAUCCCCAUCUCCAAAAGGAAUUGGAGUAUGAAUUCGAUUGGAGUGUGAUUUUAGACGUGUCCGCUGGAUGACCCCAGCUUCCUGUCAUUCCAAAUGAAAGCAAAAACGAUUUUGCUGAUUGAAUUUGGUUGAUAAGAUGCUGGGCUCAAGUCAAAUGAUCAAGCAAUUGAUGAUUUGGUUUGAAGUUCUAGCAGAACCUUGACAACUGCAUAGGUGAGUCUGGAAAGAAUAAAGCAUCUCAUGGAUGAUGCGAUGACUCUAAAUAAUGAUCCGAAAGGAUGAUUAAGAGGAGUGAUUGCGAAUUCUAUAGAGCAAGAGCCGAGACUCCAUCACGUUCUUUUGAUUGUGUCGAGCAAUCAAGAGUUUGAUUUUUGAUUCAGCAAUGAAUCAAGAAGAAUCUGUUUCAACGACAGCAAGCGUGUUGGAGAUUAUAUGGUCAAGCUACAAAGGGCUCACGGCGGAUACCUUGGCACACAGAGGCGAUGAAGGA
Molecule: transfer RNA, 849 nt
Filed under: uncultured Synechococcus sp.
Lineage: Bacteria; Bacillati; Cyanobacteriota; Cyanophyceae; Synechococcales; Synechococcaceae
Description: partial contains 16S ribosomal RNA, 16S-23S ribosomal RNA intergenic spacer, and 23S ribosomal RNA
Rfam family: tRNA (bases 274-346)
Source: RNAcentral